This 664-nucleotide long non-coding RNA is filed under the name Gossypium barbadense (sea-island cotton). RNAcentral's name for it is "long non-coding RNA (GBAR_LNC002066)". Lineage: Eukaryota; Viridiplantae; Streptophyta; Magnoliopsida; Malvales; Malvaceae. The record is from RNAcentral.
AAAAAAAUGUUCAAUAAAUUAAAAAUAAAACCCAAACAUAAACAAGUCCAAAGAUUUUGUUAAUAGUCCAUAACCCAAAUUAAAACCCAACAAGCCCCAAAACAAAAAACAAACCCUAACCCAAAAGAAAUACAACUUUCAGAAACCCUAGCCCCCUAAACUUCAACCGUCGCACAUCAGCAGGCCGCUUCGUGUGCCGCUCCUCCACGCGCGUCUGACACCGCUAUCUGCAAAUCAAAGCCAACACGCAAACAAAAGAGGACAAUCAAUAGAAACAAAUAGAAAAAGACAAAAAAAAAUAGAGGCAAAAAGUUUGUAACUUGGCUAUUAAAGUCGAAAUAUUUUCCUUGUAAGUUUUUUACGCACAUCAAUAAAUCAAAACGUAGAAGAGAAAUUUAAAAAGGUUGUUGUUUUGAUCUUUUUGUUUCUUUUAUUUUCUUGUUUCAUUUGUUUUUUUUUUCUUUUUUACAAAUUUAUUUUGAGUAUAAAAAGCGAAAAAAUAAAAAAGGAAAAGGGGAGUAGAAGCUUACCCGAAUUUGAUUUUGGCAUGGCUCCGACCACCGUCCACGGUGGAGCCAAGGCUUUUCGGCGAUGGUGCGAUGAUGGGUCUCAAAACCCUAACAGAGAAAAGAAGAAAAGAGGGGGGUGCAGAUUUUUUUUUAAA